GUGAAUCAUCGAAUCUUUGAACGCAAAUUGCACUCUCCGGUUUUCCGGGAGAGUAUGCCUGUUUGAGGGUCUGCCUAAAAAAAAUCGACAUUGUUGCUGUUGUUUAAUGGUGACUUUCGUCGGAGAUUGGGUUAUCUUAAACCUUUUUUUUUUUGGUUUAUGGUACUUAAACUUUUUUUUACUGAUUAUAUUAA
This 194-nucleotide unclassified non-coding RNA is filed under the name Glomeraceae sp. RNAcentral's name for it is "partial contains 5.8S ribosomal RNA and internal transcribed spacer 2". The stretch from base 1 to 72 matches the Rfam family "5.8S ribosomal RNA", at positions 84 to 154 of the family's 154-position model. Lineage: Eukaryota; Fungi; Glomeromycota; Glomeromycetes; Glomerales; Glomeraceae. The record is from RNAcentral.